AACAAACGCUGGCGGCGUGCCUAAUACAUGCAAGUCGAACGGGGAAAGUAGCAAUACGAGUACUAGUGGCGCACGGGUGAGGAAUACAUGGGUAAUCUGCCCUCGAGCUCGGGAUAACCAGUCGAAAGACUGGCUAAUACCGGAUAUGACCACAAGAUCUGAGGAUCAAGGGGUAAAAGGUUUUUCGCUUGAGGAUGAGCCCAUGUGGGAUUAGCUAGUUGGUGUAGGUAACGGCUCACCAAGGCGACGAUCCCGUAACUGGGUCUUAGAGGAUGAUCAGUCACACUGGAACUGAGACACGGUCCAGACUCCUACGGGAGGCAGCAGUAGGGAAUAUUGCACAAUGGAGGAAACUCUGAUGCAGCGACGCCGCGUGAGUGAUGAAGGCCUUCGGGUCGUAAAGCUCUGUCGUAUGGGACUAACAAAAUGAAGGUACCAUGCAAGAAAGGAUCGGCUAACUUCGUGCCAGCAGCCGCGUAA
RNAcentral lists this ribosomal RNA (480 nucleotides) under uncultured bacterium. Its description in RNAcentral is "bacterial SSU rRNA". It matches the Rfam family "Bacterial small subunit ribosomal RNA", at positions 29 to 522 of the family's 1533-position model. The record is from RNAcentral.